CGUGUAGGCGGGACGGCGCGUCGGCCGCUGAAAUCCCCCGGCUCAACCGGGGAAGGGGCGCCGAUACGGCCGGCCUGGAGCGACGUAGGGGGGGCUGGAACUUCCGGUGGAGCGGUGAAAUGCGUUGAGAUCGGAAGGAACGCCCGUGGCGAAAGCGAGCCCCUGGACGUCGGCUGACGCUGAGACGCGAAAGCCAGGGGAGCGAACG
Molecule: ribosomal RNA, 208 nt
Filed under: uncultured bacterium
Lineage: Bacteria
Description: partial 16S ribosomal RNA
Rfam family: Bacterial small subunit ribosomal RNA
Source: RNAcentral